Molecule: long non-coding RNA, 652 nt
Organism: Sceloporus undulatus (fence lizard)
Lineage: Eukaryota; Metazoa; Chordata; Lepidosauria; Squamata; Phrynosomatidae
Exons: 3
Source: RefSeq, a predicted model, not a curated record
AGCUGUCAGCAGCCCUAGACAACCCAACCAAUAGUCAGUGAUUCUGAGGGUUGAGAUCCAAAAUGUUUGGAGGAUCAAAGGUUGAGAACAACUGUACUAAGAGAGCUAGUUGCCCUAAGAGAAGUCAGAUAGGAAGGUGGAUGCCUCUUGAACAACAUCUCAUGGUGUUUUGAUUUCAGUGGCAUGUGUGGCCUAUGCGAAAAAUUGGAAAGCAAAGAAUUUGGACUGGAUUGGCAUGUUUUACCUUAACACCACCUGAAGUUUUCCUGAUGCAAAAGCAUGGAGGCUUCUUGAGAAAUCCAGUGCCUAAAUUAGGCAGAAAUCCUCUGCCUAAAAAAGGGGCCUGCAACCUCACAAGGAUGGAGACAUACUGGAUUGCAAAAGAAGUGCCUUUGUUGUAAUGCAAACGGAUGUUAAAUUUCCUGGACUCUGAAAAUCUCCCAGUUGCCACAUGGCCAGAAAGAGGAGGUGCCAGCCUGCAAGAUAUGCUCCUCCAUACCAUCUUAACUAAGAAGAGAAACAGCAAAAUGCAGGCCUAUGACUAACAUCUUCAAUUUUUUUCUCUUGUUUACUUUGUAAAACCUUGCCUAAUAAAAACACCAGUGAAGCUCUGAAAGCUUGCAACAUGGAUAUUGUGCGUUUUGGUUGAUCA